Molecule: ribosomal RNA, 497 nt
Filed under: uncultured bacterium
Lineage: Bacteria
Description: partial 16S ribosomal RNA
Rfam family: Bacterial small subunit ribosomal RNA
Source: RNAcentral
GAUGAACGCUGGCGGCGUGCCUAAUACAUGCAAGUCGAGCGAACAGACGAGGAGCUUGCUCCUCUGACGUUAGCGGCGGACGGGUGAGUAACACGUGGAUAACCUACCUAUAAGACUGGGAUAACUUCGGGAAACCGGAGCUAAUACCGGAUAAUAUAUUGAACCGCAUGGUUCAAUAGUGAAAGACGGUUUUGCUGUCACUUAUAGAUGGAUCCGCGCCGCAUUAGCUAGUUGGUAAGGUAACGGCUUACCAAGGCAACGAUGCGUAGCCGACCUGAGAGGGUGAUCGGCCACACUGGAACUGAGACACGGUCCAGACUCCUACGGGAGGCAGCAGUAGGGAAUCGUCCGCAAUGGGCGAAAGCCUGACGGAGCAACGCCGCGUGAGUGAUGAAGGUCUUCGGAUCGUAAAACUCUGUUAUUAGGGAAGAACAAAUUUGUAAGUAACUAUGCACGUCUUGACGGUACCUAAUCAGAAAGCCACGGCUAACUACGUG